Molecule: ribosomal RNA, 302 nt
Filed under: uncultured bacterium
Lineage: Bacteria
Description: bacterial SSU rRNA
Rfam family: Bacterial small subunit ribosomal RNA
Source: RNAcentral
AUUGAACGCUGGCGGCAUGCCUUACACAUGCAAGUCGAACGGUAACAGGUCUUCGGAUGCUGACGAGUGGCGAACGGGUGAGUAAUACAUCGGAACGUGCCUAGUAGUGGGGGAUAACUACUCGAAAGAGUAGCUAAUACCGCAUGAGAUCUACGGAUGAAAGCAGGGGAUCGCAAGACCUUGUGCUACUAGAGCGGCUGAUGGCAGAUUAGGUAGUUGGUGGGAUAAAAGCUUACCAAGCCGACGAUCUGUAGCUGGUCUGAGAGGACGAUCAGCCACACUGGGACUGAGACACGGCCCAG